UGAGGAAUAUUGCCCAAUGGGGGAAACCCUGAGGCAGCAACGCCGCGUGAACGAAGACGGCAUUCGGGUUGUAAAGUUCUUUUCUGGGGGACGAUAAUGACGGUACCCCAGGAAUAAGUUCCGGCUAACUACGUGCCAGCAGCCGCGGUAAAACGUAGGGGACAAGCGUUAUCCGGAUUUACUGGGCGUAAAGCGCACGUAGGCGGUAGGGUAAGUUGGCCGUGAAAGCUCCCGGCUUAACUGGGAGAGGUCGGACAAAACUGCCGGACUUGAGGCUGAGAGAGGAGAGCGGAAUUCCCGGUGUAGUGGUGGAAUGCGUAGAUAUCGGGAGGAACACCAGUGGCGAAGGCGGCUCUCUGGCUCAGAACUGACGCUCAGGUGCGAAAGCGUGGGGAGCGAACG
This 402-nucleotide ribosomal RNA is filed under the name uncultured bacterium. RNAcentral's name for it is "bacterial SSU rRNA". It matches the Rfam family "Bacterial small subunit ribosomal RNA", at positions 355 to 774 of the family's 1533-position model. The record is from RNAcentral.